GAGUUUGAUCCUGGCUCAGGACGAACGCUGGCGGCGCGCCUAACACAUGCAAGUCGAACGAGCGAGAGAGAGCUUGCUUUCUCGAGCGAGUGGCGAACGGGUGAGUAACGCGUGAGGAACCUGCCUCAAAGAGGGGGACAACAGUUGGAAACGACUGCUAAUACCGCAUAAGCCCACGGCUCGGCAUCGAGCAGAGGGAAAAGGAGCAAUCCGCUUUGAGAUGGCCUCGCGUCCGAUUAGCUGGUUGGUGAGGUAACGGCCCACCAAGACUACGAUCGGUAGCCGGACUGAGAGGUUGAUCGGCCACAUUGGGACUGAGACACGGCCCAGACUCCUACGGGAGGCAGCAGUGGGGGAUAUUGCGCAAUGGGGGAAACCCUGACGCAGCAACGCCGCGUGAAGGAAGAAGGUCUUCGGAUUGUAAACUUCUUUUGUCAGGGACGAAGAAAGUGACGGUACCUGACGAAUAAGCUCCGGCUAACUACGUGCCAGCCGCCGCGGUAAUAC
Molecule: ribosomal RNA, 507 nt
Filed under: uncultured bacterium
Lineage: Bacteria
Description: bacterial SSU rRNA
Rfam family: Bacterial small subunit ribosomal RNA
Source: RNAcentral